RNAcentral lists this transfer RNA (76 nucleotides) under Gammaproteobacteria bacterium. RNAcentral describes it as "tRNA-Val". It matches the Rfam family "tRNA". From Rfam's summary of the family: Transfer RNA (tRNA) molecules are approximately 80 nucleotides in length. Their secondary structure includes four short double-helical elements and three loops (D, anti-codon, and T loops). The record is from RNAcentral. Lineage: Bacteria; Pseudomonadati; Pseudomonadota; Gammaproteobacteria.
GGGCGCAUAGCUCAGCUGGUAGAGUAUCUCGGUGACAUCGAGAGGGUCACAAGUUCGAAUCUUGUUGCGCCCACCA